RNAcentral lists this signal recognition particle RNA (301 nucleotides) under Saimiri boliviensis boliviensis (Bolivian squirrel monkey). RNAcentral describes it as "Metazoan signal recognition particle RNA (ENSSBOG00000009058.1)". It matches the Rfam family "Metazoan signal recognition particle RNA". From Rfam's summary of the family: The signal recognition particle (SRP) is a universally conserved ribonucleoprotein. It is involved in the co-translational targeting of proteins to membranes. The eukaryotic SRP consists of a 300-nucleotide 7S RNA and six proteins: SRPs 72, 68, 54, 19, 14, and 9. The record is from RNAcentral. Lineage: Eukaryota; Metazoa; Chordata; Mammalia; Primates; Cebidae.
GCUGGGCACAGUGGCACGUGCCUAUAGUCCGAGCUACUUGGGAGGCUGAGGCUGGAGGAUCUCUCAAGUCCAGGAGUUCUGGGCUGUAGUGCCCUACACCAAUCGGGUGUCCACACUAAGUUUGGCAUCAAUAUGGCGACCUCCCCCGGGAGUGGGGGACCACCAGGUUGCCUAAGGAGGGGUGAACUGGCCUAGGUCAGAAACUGAGCAGGUCAAAACUCCCGUGCUGAUCAGCAGUGGGAUCGCACCUGUGAAUAGCCACUGCACUUCAGCCUGGGCAACAUAGCGAGAUCCUGUCUCU